Mus caroli (Ryukyu mouse) is the source of this 1229-nucleotide non-coding RNA. NCBI's taxonomy places the organism in Eukaryota, Metazoa, Chordata, Mammalia, Rodentia, Muridae. The record is from RefSeq and is a predicted model, not a curated record.
UAUAGUGACUCAAAUUAUGAUUAAGAGAUCAUUUGGACUUUGACAAGGCCUAUUUCUAACUGAUGAACACAACUGAGGACAUCUUGUAUCUCUUAUCUUGUAUUUUAUGUGCUGCUUACUAUAAUACCUUUUACAUUCUGGAAUCUCUUCCAAUCCCUUUAGCAGCAAUGAUAGCUUGACCAUUUAGUCUUACCUAAUAUAAAGACACAGAAGCAGGUAAUGAGGUGUUAGGGACCAGAGUCGAGAGGGGAAAACACACUGUUUCUAUCAGAAGGAAACAGAGAAGUAGUACUGAAGUAGUUGUGUUUCAGGCCUUUGUGUGUUCAUGCUUUUUGUUCUGUUCCAUUGUAAAGAGCCUCAUAGGAGGAAGAAGAAGAGAAAGAGAAAUUGUAGUCAAUGCAAGACAUGAAACAUUUCUUCAGAUGAGUUUUGAAAAGUAGCACCUCUAUGAAGAGCUUUGUUUGGUGAUACAUCAGAUUCACUCGUGUUCAUAUGGUUUUUAAAUCAGAUUUUAUUCCCUAGUUUUAUUCAUUUUGAUCCUUUUCUAUAUCUAUUAUACAUAAUUUUUUUUCAUUCAGUAUAUUUUGAUCAUAUUCUUUCCCCUCCCCUACUUUCUCCCAGACCCUCCUCACCUUCCUACCUACCCAACUACUUGUUCCUUCUGUCUGUCUGUCUCUCAAAAAACAAGAAAAAAUAACAACAAAAAGAAAAUCACAUCAAACUUUGAAAAAAGAAAAUUAGUUAGAGAAAAGGUAACAAGAUACCACACACAAACACAUCCCCCAAUAUGCAGAGCAUGUGUUUUAGUUAACUACCCUUGGGUGUAGGGCCUGUCCUGGAGUGUGACUGGUGUACCUAAUUUUAUGCUCCAGUGGGGAAAACUGACUUUCCCUUUCCCAGGAAGGUUCAGUCACAGGUAGCUUCCUGGUUAUGGGCAGGACUUUGUCUACUUCACAGGUAGCUUCCUGGUUAUGGGCAGGACUUUGUCUACUUCACAGGUAGCUUCCUGGUUAUGGGCAGGACUUUGUCUACUUCACAGGUAGCUUCCUGGUUAUGGGCAGGACUUUGUCUACUUCCUCUUCUUGGUGCUAGUAUUUUGUAUGACUACUAUGUUUAGCCCUUAAGAACAAAUGUUUAGAAAAUUAUAAACUUAGGGUUUUUGGGUAUUUAUUAGUCCGAGCAAGAAAGCAUCAAUCUAGUGUCAGAAUUCUCUAAUGUCCUGCAAGAUA